RNAcentral lists this non-coding RNA (46 nucleotides) under unclassified sequences. Its description in RNAcentral is "SAM-SAH-Weickhmann-2018 RNA". It matches the Rfam family "SAM/SAH riboswitch aptamer". The record is from RNAcentral.
CUGCCACAACGGCUUCCUGACGUGGCGGAUUAUAUGAAAUGGAGCA